Non-coding RNA from Myotis lucifugus (little brown bat), 76 nucleotides. The record is from Rfam. NCBI's taxonomy places the organism in Eukaryota, Metazoa, Chordata, Mammalia, Chiroptera, Vespertilionidae.
GGCGGUUCUUGGGUGAUGCACCCCAGAACCAGAGAGGAGGGAGCCUGAUUCCAGGGUGCAUCACCAGAGAACCACC